CACGUAGUUAGCCGGAGCUUAUUUUACAGGUACUGUCAUUAUCUUCCCUGUCUAAAGCAGUUUACAAUCCGAAAACCUUCUUCCUGCACGCGGCGUCACUGCGUCAGAGUUUCCUCCAUUGCGCAAUAUUCCCGACUGCUGCCUCCCGUAGGAGUCUGGGCCGUAUCUCAGUCCCAAUGUGGCCGUUCAACCUCUCAGUCCGGCUACUGAUCGUCGACUUGGUAGGCCUUUACCCCACCAACUAUCUAAUCAGACGCAAGCCCAUCUAUCAGCGGAUUGCUCCUUUCCCUUUUGCAACAUGCGUUGCUAAGGCAUAUGCGGUAUUAGCAGUCAUUUCUAACUGUUGUUCCCCUCUGAUAGGCAGGUUGCUUACGUGUUACUCACCAGUCCGCCACUAACCGCUCCAAUAGUAAACUAAUGGUUAAGUUCGUUCGACUUGCAUGUCUUAUGUGCGCCGCCAGCGUUUAUCCUGAGCCAGGAUCAAACUCU
This 489-nucleotide ribosomal RNA is filed under the name uncultured Eubacteriales bacterium. RNAcentral describes it as "uncultured Clostridiales bacterium partial 16S ribosomal RNA". The record is from RNAcentral. Lineage: Bacteria; Bacillati; Bacillota; Clostridia; Eubacteriales.